GGGGUUGUGGCUCAGUGGUAGAGUGCUCAUCUAGCACAUGAGAGGCCCUGGGUUUGAUCCUUAGCACCA
RNAcentral lists this transfer RNA (69 nucleotides) under Marmota marmota marmota (Alpine marmot). It matches the Rfam family "tRNA". From Rfam's summary of the family: Transfer RNA (tRNA) molecules are approximately 80 nucleotides in length. Their secondary structure includes four short double-helical elements and three loops (D, anti-codon, and T loops). Further hydrogen bonds mediate the characteristic L-shaped molecular structure. tRNAs have two regions of fundamental functional importance: the anti-codon, which is responsible for specific mRNA codon recognition, and the 3' end, to which the tRNAs corresponding amino acid is attached (by aminoacyl-tRNA synthetases). tRNAs cope with the degeneracy of the genetic code in two manners: having more than one tRNA (with a specific anti-codon) for a particular amino acid; and 'wobble' base-pairing, i.e. permitting non-standard base-pairing at the 3rd anti-codon position. The record is from Rfam by way of RNAcentral. Lineage: Eukaryota; Metazoa; Chordata; Mammalia; Rodentia; Sciuridae. RNAcentral also lists the same sequence under 2 other names.